RNAcentral lists this ribosomal RNA (505 nucleotides) under uncultured bacterium. Its description in RNAcentral is "partial 16S ribosomal RNA". It matches the Rfam family "Bacterial small subunit ribosomal RNA", at positions 28 to 507 of the family's 1533-position model. The record is from RNAcentral.
GACGAACGCUGGCGGCGUGCCUAAUACAUGCAAGUCGAACGCACAGUUUAUACCGUAGCUUGCUACACCAUAGACUGUGAGUUGCGAACGGGUGAGUAACGCGUAGGUAGCCUGCCUGGUAGCGGGUGAUAACUAUUGGAAACGAUAGCUAAUACCGCAUAAUAUUCAUUAUUGCAUGAUAAUUAAUUGAAAGGUGCAAUUGCACCACUACCAGAUGGACCUGCGUUGUAUUAGCUAGUAGGUGAGGUAACGGCUCACCUAGGCGACGAUACAUAGCCGACCUGAGAGGGUGAUCGGCCACACUGGGACUGAGACACGGCCCAGACUCCUACGGGAGGCAGCAGGAGGGAAUCUUCGGCAAUGGACGAAAGUCUGACCGAGCAACGCCGCGGGAGUGAAGAAGGUUUUCGGAUCGUAAAGCUCUGUUGUAAGAGAAGAACGGGUGUGAGAGUGGAAAGUUCACACUGUGACGGUAUCUUACCAGAAAGGGACGGCUAACUACGUG